Non-coding RNA from Cinara cedri, 607 nucleotides. NCBI's taxonomy places the organism in Eukaryota, Metazoa, Arthropoda, Insecta, Hemiptera, Aphididae. The record is from the annotation of a GenBank genome assembly.
ACGAAAAAAACGACCAGAAUCGUUAUCGUUUUAAUUUUUAACAAUACAAAUAUUGUACGCAGAGCGGUUUGAAAAAUACAAAUCGGCAGUCUUGCUCGUUUGUAAGACGGUACACGGUAAAUUUUGUUUUCGAAAACGUCGAACCCCCUGUAGACAGCGUCAGCUGUGUCGUCGGGUACCUAAUUCGUAGUCACGAUCACCGGGUGCCUUUAUUCCGGAACUGUUUUCAAUAUUCUUUUUUUUUUUUCAACUCCCGAAAAACGAUUAUCACGACGAAACAUCAUGGAUGUCGUAUACUCGUAAGGCGGGCACGCUCGUCGGAAAAAUGAAACCGGCACUGCGCAAUAACCUAAUCACGUCGGGCGCACGCGAAAAAUCGAAUGCGGUUGCGACGAGAACCACGCGCCCGACGAAAUAUCAUGGACGCCGCCGCGGCGAUCAACGUUUGCGGUGUUCAAAGAGGCUUUCAAACGUAUCGGCGCGCGUUAAAGUCUCAUGCCGGGUACGAGCGAAUGCGUACCUUUGAAGACUUUGGGAGUGAAGGGGGGGGGGAAGUGCGAAGGCCGUAGAGUCGGAUUUCGUAUUAACGAGUGUUUUUAUUGCCUCU